Molecule: ribosomal RNA, 1116 nt
Filed under: uncultured bacterium
Lineage: Bacteria
Description: bacterial SSU rRNA
Rfam family: Bacterial small subunit ribosomal RNA
Source: RNAcentral
UGCUAGGCAUGCCAGUCGAACGGACCAUUUUGAAGAGUAAUCGGAUUCAUGGUUAGUGGCGAAAGGGUGAGGAAUGGAUAGGAACGUACCGUUAGCUUCGGGAUAGCUCACUGAAAGGUGGGGUAAUACCGGAUAAUACCGCAAGGUCAAAGAUUUAUCGGCUAAUGAGCGGCCUAUUCCCUAUCAGCUUGUUGGUGAGGUAAUGGCUCACCAAGGCGACGACGGGUAGCGGGACUGAGAGGUUGGCCCGCCACAUCGGGACUGAGACACUGCCCGGACCUCCACGGAGGGCUGCAGUAACGAAUAUUGGGCAAUGGGCGAAAGCCUGACCCAGCAAUGCCGCGUGCAGGAUGAAGCCUUUCGGGGUGUAAACUGCUUUCAGGAGUUAGAAAGCUCCGGUUGAUCAGCUCCAGAAGAAGUCACGGCUAACUUCGUGCCAGCAGCCGCGGUAAUACGAAGGUGGCAAGCGUUAUUCGAAAUCACUGGGCUUAAAGGGUGCGUAGGCGGACAUGAAAGUGUUUUGUGAAAUCCCUCGGCUUAACCGAGGAAUGGCUGGACAAACUACAUGUCUUGAGGCAAGUAGGGGUGUGUGGAACUCUUGGUGGAGCGGUGGAAUGCGUAGAUAUCAAGAGGAACGCCGAAGGUGAAGACAACACACUGGGCUUGUCCUGACGCUGAGGCACGAAAGCGUGGGGAGCAAACAGGAUUAGAUACCCUGGUAGUCCACGCUGUAAACGAUGCCUACUAUGUUGCGGAGGUUCUGACACCGUCGCAGUCGUAGCAAAAGUGUUAAGUAGCCGCCUGGGGAGUACGGUCGCAAGGCUAAAACUCAAAGGAAUUGACGGGGGCUCACACAAGCGGUGGAGCAUGUGGAUUAAUUCGAAGCAACGCGCAGAACCUUACCUGGGUUUGACAUGCUUGGAUGCCUGUCUGGAAACAGAUUCGGCUGCCUUCGGGUGAAACUUGCACAGUGCUGCAUGCUGUCGUCAGCUCGUGUCGUGAGAUGUCGGGUAGUCUUUACGAGCGAAACCCUUACGUAGUGCAGCGCGUCAUGCGGGGACUCUAGCGGGACUGCGUGUAAACGAGAGGCGGGGAUGACGUCAGUCCUCAUGGACU